UUCUGGCUGUUUUUUAGGAGGAGAGAAAAAGAAUUGAAAAGGAGAGAGAAAUUUUAUUUAUUUGAUUACAUUAAAAUAGUAACUGCUUUGACUAAUAUGAUGAACAUUUACACUAAUUAUAGUUCUUAAAAUUACAGUCCUGGUAUAUAUCAUACAAAUCAAAAUGUGAUACAGCAAACACUAACCCCCCUCUCUUUAUGUUCUGGUGACAUCUAUUAAGUCCCCAGCUGCUCUAAUCUUGAGGUAAUAAAAGGUUAAAGGAGAUGAAGGCAUUAGGUGAGAACCUAUAAGUGGGACAGAAUAAGAAAGGAAGGAAGAUUCAUUUGUCUGGGAUCUUGGGUUGUGGGGGAAGAAGUGUCUCCAGCUGAUGAAUUAUAAGGGUGCCUGCAUUUGAGACGGGGGCCUGUGGACCACACUCAGUAAACUCAGGAUGUUUUCUCCUCUCAGUUUUGCNNNNNNNNNNNNNNUGUGUAUAAAUUUACUUCUGAGUGUUUUAUGGUAACACUUGGACCUCUCCGUGGAAUUACAGUUUCUAUCAUUCAAGGGAACCUGCUGUUCACUAUUUAGAUAAAUUUAAGGCAUUUACUUUUCUGAAAUCGAGAUGCUUUUAUCCUUACUGAUAUUUUUAAAAUUAGAGAUAAUCUAAGAGGAAUUUAUUGAAGAUCGAAUAAGCUAAAUAUAUGGAAAGCAACUGGAUGAGGCAAACAUGAUAACUGCUACACUCCGGAAACGCCAUAAUGGAAAGCAAGUGGAUAGAAGGUUGUCCAGGAAUGGUAAAAAGUGGCUAAACGGGGACUUCCCUGGUGAUCCAGUGGCUAAGACUCUGUGCUCCCAAAACAAGGACAGGGAGAUGGCUCUUUUCUCUUGUGGAUUUCUCAUGAAAUUUUUCCCCGAGAAAAUGAUAUUUAAGCUGGGAUAAAAAGAUGAAUAGGAGUUAGCCAGGUAUAAAAGCGAGAAGAUUGUUCCAGGUAGGUAGAGCGGUGAGUUCAGAGUGCAGACAGGAAGCCGCUGUGG
This 1014-nucleotide long non-coding RNA is filed under the name Capra hircus (goat). RNAcentral describes it as "lncRNA (ENSCHIG00010032042.1)". Lineage: Eukaryota; Metazoa; Chordata; Mammalia; Artiodactyla; Bovidae. The record is from RNAcentral.